UGUGGGAUCGUCUAAUGGUAGGACGACGGACUUUGACUCCGUUAAUCUAGGUUCGAGUCCUAGUCCCACAG
Parcubacteria bacterium 32_520 is the source of this 71-nucleotide non-coding RNA. The record is from Rfam. NCBI's taxonomy places the organism in Bacteria, Candidatus Parcubacteria.